CAAAGACAUGUCGCUAUCUGAGUUCUGGAGUGGGGACCCCCCUCACGAGCCAAGAUUCAGCCCCGGUCCAGGCUCCCUAACCUGUGCCCCAGACACCAGGGGAUCCCCGGGCUUCCAGGCCCUAAUGGCCAGGGUCUGUUUUGCUUUAAAGUUAGGGAUUCUGGUAUGGUAACUUUGAUACUGACUAUGAAGUAAGAGGAAGAGCUCUGAAGGAGACCGUGGGCUGAUUCUUCCCCUUGCUAUGGCUGCCUGUAGACUAUCAAAUCAGCUGUAAAGAAGUCUCUCCUUCGAUGUGAAUUUGAACGGGGCAUCUGGGGCCCUGUGCUUUCUUCUCUCUUCCCAUAGACUGCUGUCCAUGACAUUUUCACAGGAGGAGUCAAUUAGCCGGACGUAAAUUACUUCUGAGACCCAGGGAGAGGGCUGACAUUAUCCACACCAUUUCCCGGAGGAGGAACUGAAGUGGAGAGAGGUCAAGUGCCUUGACCAAGAUUAUAUAAUGGCCUCGUCAGGAGUAAAGUUUGGGGUUUCUUUUCUGUCUCUGCUUACUGAAAAAAUCGUCCCAAGCUGUCACCUUGCAGAAUGACAGGACGAGAGCACGUGACACGGGCAUGCUCAGGGGCACUGCUGGCCAUGGGAGCUGGACCCCACCACUGGACAGAACACCUCGCAGGAUUCCCGAUCACCCUACCCACACACGUCCCAUGAGGCCCUGGAGAGUCCUGGCGGGGUGCGGGAGACCAGACUCUCAUGUGACGAACUGGCCGGAAGGGGCCUCUCUCUCCUCUUUCCUUCUACUCUCGCUACCCCGAGAGAUUCUCUAUAUGACGAACUAAAAGGGGAAUUGACUCAGAAGUACAAAGGGCUCCGUCUUAUUAUAUGAAGAUUUCUCCAGAGUUUGUUUUCAGAUCAUUAAAUACUCAACAGUGGGAGAAACUAAAAGCGCCAAUGUUCUAAGCCACCCCCUGGCAGAAUAUCAAUCAGAAAUUAAAGUCAGGUGCAUCCUGAAGCAAAGUGACCGAAAAGACACACCUUGCUGCAUGCUGAAUCGUUCUCAGUUUUGUGCAAAGGAGCUGCCUAGCGCAGUGCUGGACCACCGUGACCACAGACGUCAGCCUGCGGUCACCCCGACUUCCUUGGCAGGCUGCACCUGACCGCCCUGCCCCAGGGUGGCCUCCACUGUGGACAGAGGCCUUCCCUAGCACUUCACAGUCUAGUGCCCACGGAACCCUGCCACACACACAGUAGACAGGAGAAUGAAUCAAAUGCAGUUCUGACCCCUUCAGACCACGGGUCCAUUUUGUUUUCCCUUCCUUUCCUCCCCUCUCCUUCUUUUCUUCUCUUUCUCUGUGAACCUUGGGAAGAGGAGCCUGAGGAAGAUGUGCUCCGGAGCAUCUCUCCUGUCUGAGAUGCUCAACUGAAAAUGAGAACCAGCAGGGCCUAUCCUACAAAGAGGCGGUCGGCCACCCCUGGCCUGCUGGGGUUUCCGCAGUCCCUCGGGCCAGUGCCCCCAGAAACCGAAAGGAAAAAUCCUCCCCAUUCAGCCUGGCCUCCUCAGCUUCCCCUCCCAGCCCCAGGCCCAAACACUUCCCCCAAGGUCCAUGACCUUUCUGCUGUCAGAUCCAGCGGAAGCAUCUCUGUAUUCAUCUCAGUACUUUAUCCUCCACCUUUUCCUGGGAGCCAGGGCUUCCAGAAACGGCUGGGCGGUUGGCUUUGGCGAUGGUCCUUCUCCUGCUCUUUGCUUGCCUCCCUGCAGUCCCUUCCCCACUUACCCUGCAGGUUCCAUGGCUGCCCUGACCCUUUAGGGCUCGGCCUCAGGGACUUUCCUUCCCCACAGCCCCUCCUGGGUGUCUCCGUCUGUCCCUGUUGUUCUCCUGCAGCGACAGUCCUCGCCGCUGGCUCUGUGUGGUGUCCCCAACUGCCCGUGACCUCUCUCCUUGGCAGCUCGCUGCACUUGCAGGACGGGCCCACAUGGAAACCUUUCCUCCCUGAGGACGGCUUGGACUCAUCUUGGUUCCUCGCUCCCCCUCACCUCAAGAGCCCUGUGCACCUGCAGUCUUCCGAGUCUUAUCUCCAAAUACAUGCGCAUGCUGCGAACUCAUCUGCACCUUUCUUUUUUUCUGUACUGGGAAUUGAACCCAGGGCCUUUGCACUGAGCUACAUCCCUAGGCCUUUCUUAUUUUACUUUUGAGACAGGGUCUCACUAAGUCACUAAGCUGCCCAGGGUUUGAAUUCGUGAUCCUCUGCCUCAGCCUCCCAGAGUUCUGGGAUUGGGGGUCUGCACCACUGCGCCUGGCUAUCUUCACCUUCACUUUCACUACAGUGGUUCAAGAUACAGGGCAGCCUGUAGGAGGAGGCAACUGGUGUGGGAUGCUCGGGCCAGUCACAGUCAAACAUAGGCCACCGGGUGGACCUCUUUCUACACCCUUGGGGAGACUGCUGACGACAAACAUUUCAAAGAUUAGGGAGCUGAGGCGUAGAUGAAUCGAGUAACUUUCUCGGACUCCUGAGCUGGUGAGAAUGUGGACAACUGCUUAGAUCACUGCAGACUGGAUUCUAGUGCUCACCAACGCUUCCGCACGGCGCACACCCAGGGAAGAAGGAUCAUGCACAGAUGACUCUUCACUGAGGAGCCAGUACGUAAGACAGGUAGAGAUGACACUGCGAUGUUAGGUGGAGUCGAUUCCUUCUCUCAGCCGCUCACCCUGGCUCUUGGCUCCUUCGGGAGGCCUGAGGCUCUGACAGGAGUUUGAAAACCACUGCGUGAAGAAAUGCUGUCUCUCAAAACCCCUGUUAGAGGACAAAAACCUCCACUCCCAUGGUAGAGAAAGAA
Heterocephalus glaber (naked mole-rat) is the source of this 2830-nucleotide long non-coding RNA. The record is from Ensembl. Lineage: Eukaryota; Metazoa; Chordata; Mammalia; Rodentia; Bathyergidae.